AGGUGAAGCCCAGAGAAGCAGAAGUCACACACAUCUUUAAGGGGAGACUCAGUAGUGCAGGACAGCGAGUCUUGGCUUCAUUCCAAAGAGCUGUCUUUGGAGACAUUUAGAAGGAGGAUACCCAAGAAGACACAGCAGUCUUUGUGUGAACAGUGGGCUAGGAGCUGAAGAGUUGCCUAGAGGCUUUCAGGGGAUCACCAAAUCUGUGCAAGUCCUUCAGAUGAACUACCCUACCCUCUGAAAUGCUUAAUCCAGGUGAUGCAGAAAGAAGAAAGAAAGGUUAUCCAGAGGUUUUGAGAAGAUAUUGUCUGAUGUGUCUGCAGAGUGGGACCCUGUUUGAGAGCUUUUGUCUGUGUGAAAGGCGCCUGCCCACUACAAGGCCCUAGUGGGGAUAGAUCCAUGCAGCACCUGCCUGCCAGGGAAGGCUUGAUACAUCAAGAAAACUUCAGAGGAGUUAUUAUUGCCUCGCACCAAUGGUAAGGAGAAAGAGAAGCAAGUUAUUCAUGUUUAAUGUUGUUUUGUGCCAGAUGUUUUGCUGGUAGAAAUCCAUAGCUCCACAGGCAUCAAUUUCUUCAGGAUCUGGAAUGUUUGACACAAUUUUUUUUCUCCUUUCUGGAUGGUCUGUAAAGGAAGCUGCUUGCUUUUGCAAUAUUGAAUAUUCACGCUGAGAAGUUAUAAGCAAAAACAAAAUAAUGAGAGACAGGGUCUCUAAUAAGCUUCCUGUCACAUGAGGCUGUGGUUCUGGUGCAGCAGAUGUGGUUGCUGACUUGUUUCCAAAAUGUUUGUUGAGUGGUGAUUAGAUUCUGUCAUAGUGAUGUUAUAUCUCUGUGAUCUCAUUCAAUACAAGUAGUUCUGCAAACAGUGAAAUAUUUUUUUCCUAUGGAUUUAUAUCUUGGAUUGUGUUUAGGCAUGGAUUCUCUGAUGUCUAAUGGGGAUUUAAUUCAUUUUAGCCUGUUUCUUCAAUGAGAAAUGAAUAAUCUGUCUUAACUUGGCUGUCUAUUUUCACAGAACUUGCAGGAAUUAAAUAUCAUAAGUUCUAAAAAUCUGGGUGGGAAUUAUGAGCCAGUUCCAACACAAUUUGGGGCCAAUUAAUAUAAACAAACAUAAACAUGAGUCUCAUUUUCUUACAAAAGCAAAAGGUAAGACUCAAUCUUUACUACUUUGUAUUUCCACAUUACCUGCUUGAUUCUCUUCUGGUUUAUUUGUGAUCAACCAUAGAAGGUAUGCUUUAUUUAUAAAGCUAUAUGAAAUAU
This is a long non-coding RNA of Lonchura striata (white-rumped munia), 1253 nucleotides long. NCBI's taxonomy places the organism in Eukaryota, Metazoa, Chordata, Aves, Passeriformes, Estrildidae. The record is from Ensembl.